GCUCUUGCCUGCUUGCUCUCACUUCACUGGCAAGUCUGUUACUUCACUAGAAUUAGAGCUUGCUUCUUCAGGAUUCCAGGGUAUUUUGAUGAGCAGCUGAGAUGACUGGUGUCACGGACUGUACAACUACUGGAUGUUUGGACUUCAUGUUCAUAGGCAGUCAUUUUUGGAUUAGCUGGACCACAGUCUAAGCCAUCAAAUGACCUGCAUCCACCAGAAAUAAAUUUUUGUCAACUCAACCCAAGUUGGGGUCUUCUGGGAAGAGGCAACCUCAAUUGAGAAAAUCCUCCCAUACAAUUGGCCUGUAGGAGAAUGGUUGGCCUCCGCUCGUGAGAGCUGAGAACUCUACGCACUGUUCUCACAGCAGCAGUCCAAUUCUCCUCCUAAUACAGCCUGACCGAGUUCCAGGGGACCGCAAGCACUUGCCAGCAACUUCUAAAGUAUAGCCAGAUGUUAUUUCAGCUUGCUGUGAAGAGUUUUCACACCACAGUCCCAAGCUUUAAUUUCCUUCAUUUAAAAAACGGUCACUCAGCCAUCAAUCAGUUGCUAAGGCCCGAAAGAGCACAUCUCUCAUCGCAGAUAACCCUAGGUUCUGGCAUGUGCUUCAUUCAUGGAAUCAACCCACAGGAACGGGAAACAGAGCUCACUCGAUGCGAUCUGAGCGAUAGUGUCCACAUGUGUAAGCCAGUCAACAUCUGAGAAGACACUGGAGAUUAAAGCAGGGUCCCUAUUUCAGCACAGCCUGCAAGAAUAAGUGUCUGCCUAUUAUCUCUCAAGAUUCCUUCUAUCUUUUAGUCUGAUGGCCCGAUAGGCAACCAUCAUAGGGUCAGAGAAAACAGAAGUACACAGAAUAUAGUGGCAGAAAGGGAGUGAAGUCAAAAUCAUGAGUCAAUAAGAAAAAAAAAAAAACUUCUAGAUAAGAAUCAAACAUUAAUAUGUGCCCUAGUCAGUAAGAACUAUUAUGAGUUCUGGAUUACUUACUGUUAAACGCCACUAUUUUAUUAGAAUGAGUUAGAGUCUAAUUUCCCACACACAAAUUCCAGUAUAAUAGCAUUCAAGUUUCUAUUACUGCUUCAGAAACAACAUUUACCUCCCCAUAUCCUUGUCACCUUGGUAUUAAAGAAAGUUCUGUAAACAUCACUGACAAAGUUUCAACUCUUCUAAAGUACAGCUUUAAAACUUCACAAUUACACCAGAAAGAUGUACCCAAUGCUGGGAACUCAUGUACAGUGUUUUAUUGAGUAUUAUUAUCAGUGCAUAAAGUCCACGCCUUGUAUUUAUUAAAACAUGUAAUGAAGGAUUUUAAGCAGCUUACAAUUAACUAAACAAACUUCUGAUUCUGCCCAUUGUAGCUGAGGUAAACUAUUAAGAACCUGAGACUCCUUCAAAGUGAAUCAACUUCAAGCAUGCAGAUGUCCAUCUCCUUGCAAGUACCCCAUUCAUCAAGGAGCAACAAGCAGAGAUUUUUGCAUUUAUUUUAGAAUGGAGACUGUGGCUCCAACAGGCCUCCUUCCAAGCAGUCUUUGUGUUCCUUCAACAUGCCAAAAGAGAUAGGUUGAUCCACCUGUGGUGAUUACAAUUCAUCAGGACGCAAAUGUAUCUUCCAGGAGCUGACCUUCUACAUCUCUAGACCUUGCUGCAGGAGACCAGGAUUUUAUUUCUAUCUAGAAGUCUUCUUCCAUCCAAAGGGAAUUCUGAUUUCUCCCUACAAUCCAUAAGUUGCAGUGUAUCAUUAAUCCUACAUCUUAUUGCCAUUACUAUUUGAAUGCUAUUGUAUAAUAUGAAAUUGCUAUCUACUCCUCUAUCAAUCAGGUUAAAAUUCCAUUCAGCAUCAUUUUCUCUGAAUGCAAGCUGUAAAGGAUGUUAGACUUUUGACUGGUAACACCCAAUGUUUGCACAACGAUACCAUGUUAAAUCAGCACUCUCUUCUACGCUGUACCCUGUGGUAUUUGUUUUAAUCUCCUGAGAAGUUUCUUCCAUGUUUUCAAUGUGUUUGUCAUUUUACAUAACUUAGAUGUCCAAAUUUUCUGUUUUAGGCAGGAGUGUUUCAAGUUUUCCCUCCAGGGAGGUCAUGCAGUUUGUAAUUUCUUGUAUUUGGAAAUAAUUGCCCCCAAAACAAGUCUCACAUAGACCCCAGAGCUUGUGACAGAGUCAUUUUUCCCAGGUUUACUGUUCUGAAAUGGUGUGGAGAAAGCAAUCAUUGGAGCACCUAACAUCUACACUACACCUGUAUCUACUGUGGAGCACAGACCAAUUUCCCAUAAUGAGAGAUAGAUAAGAUACAAAAAAUGUACUCAAUCAUUCAGUUGCCUGUCUAUUGUUAGAAAAUGUUGUCAGAGAAAUGGGGCUCUGAAUUCUCUGACAUAACUUGGUGAUGGGUUAUAAGGUAAGUUUCCAUAUGAUAGCAAAUCAUCUCUUGAGUUCUUGAAAAUAGCUAAUGGCAGAAAUUUGGAGAAUUAGAAAGUCUUCAUGCUUAAGAACACAGUUGCCUAUGUCCUAUAGGAAACACUGAUUUGCUUUCUAUCACUGCUGUUUUACCUCUUCCAAAAUUAGAUGUAAAAGAAAGGAUGUUCUUUGUACUCUUCUGUGCAACUCUCCCAUAGCAUAUUGCAUUUGAGAUUCAUUUGUGCUGUUGAGAGCAUCCUUGAUUCUCUCAUGGUGGUGGUGGUGGUGGUCAUUGUUGAUGCUGUUGCUGAUGAUUAUUCAAUCCAUUAUCUUCUCAGUUGCUCUUUCCCUAUGUCAAGGUGAACCUAAUUCCAAAAGAGCUGAUAUAGAGAAUGUAUUUCCAUUGUGGAAACCGCUCCCUACCCACAAGGACUUGGCUUAAUGUCAUGAACUCUUAUGGAUGAGAUCCUGGCUUGAGAUCCUUCCUGAAUACCAACUAUGUUGACCUCUCCAGGUGGUGUUUCUCUGGCUCCAUGUCAGCUGGCUUCUUACCAAUAAAAGGCAAGGCACUAGAGGGCAGAAGGGCAUAACCCUAGUAUUUCUCUCCCUGUCCUUUGUUUUGUUCAGCACUUUUGAUAAAGGAUACAUUUCCUCUUUGGCUUCAGCCUCCACUAAACAAGCACACUUUGAUUCUAGUUCCAACCACAUACAUGGGCCUAGGUCCUGGAUUAUAAUAACAACAGUUUCGGGCUUUUGUCCUGCUAAGUCUAGUCACUAAACCCUAUCUGCUUCUAACCUCUGGGUCUUCUUUGCCCCUUAUUUGACUUUCAUCUCCAUCUCAAAUACUUAGCUACUUCACUGUAUUAUAAUUCUUCUGGUGUAGCUAUUUGAGUUAUAUCUAUUUUCCUGGUAAGACCUUAAUUUUAUUUUACAAAAUCUAAGUCUUUUGACUUUUUUUCUUGGUAUCUAAUCUGUGGCGGAACAUUUCUCUCAUUUUAUUCUUGUACUAGUACCAACAAAUUAUUACUAUUCACAUCUAUGAAUUAAUAAGCCUAGAUGACUUUAAUGA
Mus musculus (house mouse) is the source of this 3454-nucleotide long non-coding RNA. RefSeq annotates it as predicted gene, 40652. The transcript is spliced from 4 exons. The record is from RefSeq and is a predicted model, not a curated record. Lineage: Eukaryota; Metazoa; Chordata; Mammalia; Rodentia; Muridae.